Stegostoma tigrinum is the source of this 1152-nucleotide long non-coding RNA. RefSeq lists it as uncharacterized. The transcript is spliced from 4 exons. The record is from RefSeq and is a predicted model, not a curated record. Lineage: Eukaryota; Metazoa; Chordata; Chondrichthyes; Orectolobiformes; Stegostomatidae.
CGAGUCAUGAGUAAAACGCUCAACACGUUGCAGCUAGACGCUGUCGGGAUGAGUUUUUGUUUUUUUUUAAAUAGAGGGGGGUGGGGUGUGCUGAGUUUGGUAACUUUCAGUAUCAACGGAGACGAAAGAUCUCUAAACUUCAACAACUUUGGCUUGUUGGUAGUCGGGUGAAUUGGAACUGCACAGAGAACUGCAUUUUGACCCUGGAGUAAAGGUGUCAGAACAACUAGUGACUUGGUGACAUGGUGAACAGAACUCCACUUCCGGAUGAGGUAAAGGGCUAAGGAUCCAGAAUGCAAGUGCUAAGAACUUAUAAGCUUGAAAAGGAUCAGAGAGAAGAUGAGACAAAUCAACAAGUAUUGAAUAAGUGACACCAAGCCAUGAGAAAGAAAGGCUACAGACUAAGGCAGAACAAGUUUGAAACUGGAAUUUGGGGGAAAAAAAUACUGUGUGGUUAUGGUAGACCAGCCAGUAACAUCAUCCGAUAACUGAACACCAGACUUGAACUUGCAACCCAAUUGAUUUUCAGUGGAAGGACUGAUGCAGAAGUUUCCUUGAUUGAAGAUAUCCAUGACAUUCAUUAAAUUAUCUGUGUUGUCAACAUCUGUUAAUGUGGUAGUCAAAGGUAAUUUCAAACUGCUUGCAAACUUACAUCAUGCACAGUUCAUCUAUUGUUUGUACACUUUAUGCAUUAAAAUCAUGAUUCAUUGAGCAAUCUCCUAAUCUAGAUCAUGUAUGCUUAAAUUCAAAAUUGUUGCCUCUAUUUCAAUACGGGGAUAACGGUUGGGCAAGAUUAGCUGCUGUGUUUCUGACAUUAUAACAAUAACUACACUUAACUAGCUGUAAAAUGAUUUGAGAUGUUGCAAUAUAAAUGGAAGUUUACUUCUUUUCUCUGAAACUUGGUUGUGACAUGCACUGGGACCUUGACCUCUCACUAAUAAACUGGGGUUGCCUGAAAAAAAUAACAAAGUAAUGUCUUUUCUGUUCGUAAUGCUAACUGUUUGAGUUGUUCAUUAAGUGCUUUGCGUAUCCAAAUGCACCUUUGUAACUUAAUUUGGAGUUGACCUUUUCCUAUUACCAAUGCUGAAGAGCCCUGUUAUUUUAGAAGAAAAAAAAAGUUAGAAAUUUGUUUAGGAGAAAAUAAAUUACCCC